GUGCUGUUGGAGAGGCGGCGGGGCAGCCGCUCGCUGCUCGGCCCCUUGCCCGACGGCUCCUCCGCCUUGUCCGCCGGCGGCGGCGGGGGCGGAGCGGCAGCGGCGGCGGGUCGGGACCCGACACCCCGCUCCUGGCUGGCGAUAAGGGAGAGAACGUGGCUGUCGGUGAUGGGCAGAGGGUCGCUCUUGCGCUUCCACUCGCGCUUGUUGAAGCUGUAGAGCUCCUCCAUGCUCCUCACCGCCGCCGUCAGCUUCUCCAGCGCGUUCUGCACCGGCGCUGCCUUGCUUUCCUCCCGCGGGUCCUCCUCCGGUGCCCGGCUCCUCUCGGGGGGCGGCGGCGGCGGCUGGUGCCGCCAGGGCGCGGCGGAUUUGGAAACGAUCUUGAGCACAGCCGGCUGGCGAGCAUCGCUCUUGUUGGGGGCGAUGGUGGCCACUGGCAGCCUGCCCGAGGUGCGGUGCACCAGCACGGUGCCCUCCGGAGGGCAGGCGGGCGCCUUGCCCGUCGCCUUGGCCCCCGCCUCGGUGGGCUUGUUGCCGGUGUGGCCGACCGCCUGGCAGGUGAUGACCACGGGGGAGAGCGACCGGGGGACACCGGCGAUGACCAGCUGCUGCUGCUGCUGCUGGGGCUUCUGCUCCGGGCCGCCUUGCUCGGAGGCGCCGCUGCCCUUGUCGCUGCUGUUAUCUCCCGAAUCAGCGCUGUAGGAGCUUUUGAUGAGCUUCCGCACGUCCCGUACCUGGUGGAGGAUCCCCUGGGCUCUGUACUUGCUGUCCCUCACGUCGCGCACCAGGAACUGUGGCACUUUGUCGGGGCCGUCGCCGGCCUUGAGAGGCUUGAGCGGCAGUCCCCUGCCCUCCUCCGGCGGCCGGCCUGCGAUCUGCGGCGUCAGCAGCUGGGCGAUGCUGAAAGCGGCGUCCCGGGGCUGCUGCAGGCUGCCCAAGCUGAUCUUGAUCUCGGGGGCUUUGGGCUUGGCGGCGGGGGGCGAGGUGGCGGCGACGCCGCCGGCGGCCGAGGACACGGCGGCGGCACCGCCGGCGGCCGAGGACACGGCGGCGGCCGCGGCGGAACACUUGGUCGCCCUCUUGCCGGGUUCCUUCUCCCGAGGGGUGUGCUGAAUGGCGGGGACGAACAGGCGGGACAUCUUGGUGGACUUGCCGGCAGAGAUCUCGCCCAGGUCGGCUCGCCAGUCGUGCUUGGGAGAGAGUUUCAGCUUACCGACGGGCGCCCUCUCCUCCUUCCUUUCCGCCUCCCGCUCCUUCCAGGACCUGAAGGCGCUGUUCUGGCUGCGGAGGAAGGUGGCCUUGAUGGCCUCCGAGGCGCUGCGCUUCACCUCGCACAGCUCCUCCGACAGCGCCCGGUCCAGGCUGCGGUUCCCCUCGCGGGGCGUCGACGCCUUGGAGGCCGGAGAGGGGCCCCCGCCGCCCUCGGCCGCAUCCUCCGCCGGCGCCGCGGUGCAGUCCG
This 1459-nucleotide long non-coding RNA is filed under the name Lonchura striata (white-rumped munia). RNAcentral's name for it is "domestica (Bengalese finch) lncRNA (ENSLSDG00000009979.1)". The record is from RNAcentral. Lineage: Eukaryota; Metazoa; Chordata; Aves; Passeriformes; Estrildidae.